ACACCUCAACUCUUUAUGGUUUUCCAUGAAGGGCUUGGACUUUGGGGGUCUUGCUGGCCUUUAGUCAGCUCCUCUCAAACGAAUCAGCUUUCCAGUGUUUGGCAGCGUCACAGGUGUGAUAACUAUCUACGCUUGUGGUUUUCUGCCAGGUAAUCCUCAGUGAUGGGGAUUCGCUGGGGCUUAUAAAUGUCUCUCCUCAGCGAAGACAGCUUUGUGAAC
RNAcentral lists this unclassified non-coding RNA (219 nucleotides) under uncultured Tomentella. Its description in RNAcentral is "sequence contains ITS2". Lineage: Eukaryota; Fungi; Basidiomycota; Agaricomycetes; Thelephorales; Thelephoraceae. The record is from RNAcentral.